This 707-nucleotide ribosomal RNA is filed under the name uncultured Alphaproteobacteria bacterium. RNAcentral describes it as "bacterial SSU rRNA". It matches the Rfam family "Bacterial small subunit ribosomal RNA", at positions 126 to 871 of the family's 1533-position model. The record is from RNAcentral. Lineage: Bacteria; Pseudomonadati; Pseudomonadota; Alphaproteobacteria.
CUGCCCAGUAGUACGGAAUAACAGUUGGAAACGACUGACAAUACCGUAUACGCCCUUCGGGGGAAAGUUUUUCGCUAUUGGAUGAGCCCGCGUCAGAUUAGCUAGUUGGUGGGGUAAUGGCCUACCAAGGCGACGAUCUGUAGCUGUUCUGAGAGGAAGACCAGCCACACUGGAACUGAGACACGGUCCAGACUCCUACGGGAGGCAGCAGUGGGGAAUAUUGGACAAUGGGCGAAAGCCUGAUCCAGCCAUGCCGCGUGAGUGAUGAAGGCCUUAGGGUUGUAAAGCUCUUUUGGCGGGGAAGAUAAUGACGGUACCCGCAGAAUAAGUUCCGGCUAACUUCGUGCCAGCAGCCGCGGUAAUACGAAGGGAACUAGCGUUGUUCGGAAUCACUGGGCGUAAAGGGCGCGUAGGCGGACUGUCAAGUCAGGGGUGAAAUCCCAAGGCUCAACCUUGGAAUUGCCUUUGAAACUGUCAGUCUGGAGUGCAUGAGGGGAUAGCGGAAUUCCAAAUGUAGCAGUGAAAUGCGUAGAUAUUUGGAGGAACACCGGUGGCGAAGGCGGCUAUCUGGCAUGCAACUGACGCUGAGGCGCGAAAGCGUGGGGAUCAAACAGGAUUAGAUACCCUGGUAGUCCACGCCCUAAACGAUGAAUGCUAGCCGUUGGAACGUAAGUUUCAGUGGCGCCGCUAACGCAUUAAGCAUUCCG